GAUGCUAGGGUCAAAAGGUCAAAAAGCCGUUCAUGCUUGCAUGAUAAGGCUUUUGAACUUGGGACCCGCCAAACAUGAGAAAGUAGCGAUUUACGCAGUAAAUCAGCGGAUUUCGAAUGUUUAUAGAAUUGCGGGAGCUGCUUUGCAGCGGAGCAAUUCGCAGGCAU
Molecule: small RNA, 167 nt
Filed under: human gut metagenome
Description: Clostridiales-1 RNA
Rfam family: Clostridiales-1 RNA
Source: RNAcentral